ACGGAAGGCAGCAGUGGGGAAUAUUGCACAAUGGGCGCAAGCCUGAUGCAGCGAUGCCGCGUGAGGGAAGAAGGUUUUCGGAUUGUAAACCUCUGUCAUCGGGGACGAUAAUGACUGUACCCGAGAAGGAAGCUCCGGCUAACUACGUGCCAGCAGCCGCGGUAAUACGUAGGGAGCGAGCGUUAUCCGGAAUUACUGGGUGUAAAGGGAGUGUAGGCGGGACUGUAAGUCAGAUGUGUAAUAUGCCGGCUCAACUGGCAAACUGCAUUUGAAACUGCGGUUCUUGAGUGAAGUAGAAGUAAGCGGAAUUCCUAGUGUAGCGGUGAAAUGCAUAGAUAUUAGGGGAAACAUCAGUGGCGAAAGCGGCCUACUGGGCUUUAACUGACGCUGAGGCUCGAAAGCGUGGGGAGCAAACAGGAUUAGAUACCCUGGUA
Molecule: ribosomal RNA, 434 nt
Filed under: uncultured Ruminococcus sp.
Lineage: Bacteria; Bacillati; Bacillota; Clostridia; Eubacteriales; Oscillospiraceae
Description: partial 16S ribosomal RNA
Rfam family: Bacterial small subunit ribosomal RNA
Source: RNAcentral